RNAcentral lists this ribosomal RNA (468 nucleotides) under uncultured bacterium. RNAcentral describes it as "partial 16S ribosomal RNA". It matches the Rfam family "Bacterial small subunit ribosomal RNA", at positions 28 to 507 of the family's 1533-position model. The record is from RNAcentral.
GACGAACGCUGGCGGCGUGCUUAACACAUGCAAGUCGAACGGAAAGGCCCUGCUUUUGUGGGGUGCUCGAGUGGCGAACGGGUGAGUAACACGUGAGUAACCUGCCCUUGACUUUGGGAUAACUUCAGGAAACUGGGGCUAAUACCGGAUAGGAGCUCCUGCUGCAUGGUGGGGGUUGGAAAGUUUCGGCGGUUGGGGAUGGACUCGCGGCUUAUCAGCGUGUUGGUGGGGUAGUGGCUUACCAAGGCUUUGACGGGUAGCCGGCCUGAGAGGGUGACCGGCCACAUUGGGCCUGAGAUUCGGCCCAGACUCCUACGGGGGGCAGCGGUGGUGAAUAUUGCACAAUGGGCGGAAGCCUGCUGCAGCAACGCCGCGUGCGGGAUGACGGCCUUCGGGUUGUAAACCGCUUUCGCCUGUGACGAAGCGUGAGUGACGGUAAUGGGUAAAGGAGCACGGGCUAACUACGUG